CACCAUAUUUUUCGAUACUGUCGAAAAGUUUAUUUGCUCUCUAAAAUCCACAAUUAAUUAUAAUGCUGCAAACGGAAUUCACUGCUAUCUUUCCACUUUAGGGCAAAUACGGGGUCGCAUAUUGUCUGAAUUUCCAGGUGUAAAAUUUGUUCACACGGAAUUACUCGUAUUCGAUCUUAUUAACAAAGAUGACCAAGUAGAAACAGUUGCUACAGAACAUAAUCGGGCCCACCGGUGCUUAUCCGAAAAUGUUCGUCAAAUUUCUAAAGAAUAUUAUUUUCCAGGUUUGAAGAAAAUGUUAAAAAAUUUAAUCGCAAAUUGUAAGAUUUGCCUGGAAAAUAAAUAUCAACGUCAACCGUUAUGGAGAUUUUACUUAUAUUUAAUAACACGAAAAUUAUUGUAUCAGAUAAGGAAGGAGCUUUUCAAUCCAACCUAAUAAAAACGUUGCUAAGAGAUCACUUCUCAAUUGAACAAUUCUUCAUACCUACGCUUCACAGCGAAAGCAAUGGCCAAGUCGAAAGGUUUCACUCAACAUUGCUCGAAAUAGCACGUUGCAUUAAAAAACAGCAGCAAAUAUGUGAAAUUAUUGAUCUUGUUUUAUUAGCAACCUACAAAUAUAAUAACAGUAUUCAUUCGGUCACAAACGCCAAACCCAUUGAUGUGUUUCAUAACUACCCUCCUGAGAAAUUAAAUGAUAUUUGGAAAAGAUUAGUGGAAGCUCAAGAAAAGACUCUGAAAAGAUUUAAAUGCGGAAAAAUACCCAAAACAUAUAAAGUUGGAGAAAAGGUUUUUUUGAGAAGAAACAUACGAUUAGGAAAUAAAUUUGACAGGAUUUUUACUGAAAAAGUUAUUGAAGCAGACCUUGGUACCGCGGUUAUGAUAGAAGGAAAAAAGAUCCAUAAAAGCAAUUUGCGAUAGUUUUUCGAAGAAAUUCAGCUAAAAACAAGUUCAAGCAAUACAAAUAGGUUCUAAUUAAAAUGAAUGACAAAUAACUUAUGCUGUAACAUUUUUCUUUGAUUUUGAAUUAUUACAUUUGAUUUGAAAUUAAUUUGUGAACUUAGUUUUAAGAUAUUACAAUUGUUGGUAAAGUUCCUCUAAUUUUCUUUGAUUUUGAAUUAUUACAUUUGAUUUGAAAUUAAUUUGUAAACUUAGUUUUAAGAUAUUACAAUUCUUGGUAAAGUUCCUCUAAUUUGAGAGUAACAGCUUACGUACUUUAGAGAAGCAAAACCAAGUAUUUGUCGAAACGUGGACGUUCCGAGCUAAACAAGGGGAGUAGUUAAGAUAACCAAGACAAAUAUAAUGUUUACCACACUGGUUAACGAACUUAAGUAACCAGGUCAAAUCUUUCGUUUUACCUAAGGGUUAAGAUCCUAUAAAAAAUUAUAAAUCAACAAUUAUAAAAUGAUGCGCGGCCUGUGUGCGUGGCAUUCGCUGAUUAGCCAGCAUCACAAAAAUACAACAAAACGGCCUCUUAAAGGCUAGCCAGUCAAAAACGCUACUCCCUUCCUUCCUUUUCCUUUCUUAUCGGCAAAAUGUGUGCACAGUGAAAAGCUUGGUAAAAACGCAGAAAUCAGCCAUCUUUGCUUUGAUUUCAUUUGAACAAUGUUGCCAUUGCCCAAUAAGCAUAUAUAGUUUUGAGCACAUCUUUGUUUUCAAUUACAAUUUUUUACAAUAUAAAAUAUCAAAACUGAAAACAAACUAUUAAAAAUAGUUUAUAUAUUUAUAAAUAAUAGCAUUCGACUCUGAUUUUGAGUUAUUUUAAGAAGAUUUCAAACAUAUUGAACAGAUUGAAUUAUAAAAGUUGAUAAUUACUGCAGUAUAUCGAUAUUGGCAAUUGGCAUUGAGAGAGCAAUCAGCUGCCACGUUUGCUGCGGCAAAAUCCAAAUGUCGCGGAUUCUCACGUCAUCCCACGUCAAAGAGAGAAGGGAGUAGUAUUUUUCACUAUUCAGUUACAUUGCGCGUCCAUAAGAUAGGUCGUGCCAGCUGACUCGGGCCACGAUUCUGCGUAUUUGACUGGCUAGCCUAUUAGUAACAGCCGGAUGUUCCCGCCAAAACAGGCGUCCUACCAAAGCAACAACACACCUCACCAUUUCGAGUCAUUGCGCGAAGCAAUCAAUGAUUCGACCAUAGCAACAGUUGAGUUUGGCCGCCUUAAGUGCUGAAUACAAUACCGACGACAAACGACAUCUGUCAAAUAUUAAAAUACACACGUUCUUAUGGAUACUGUUAUUUUGACGACGACACAACUAUACGACUGUAGGCCGACGGUUGUCGUUUUCGCUAACUUCAAUAUUCUCCUAUAUUGGCCAACGACAGUAGGACGACAGUGAAGUUGACAGUAGAAUGGAAGAUAGAGAGAUGAGGAAGAGAGAUGCCACUAAUAUGUAAAAUGUAAAAUUAUUUACAGCUCUUACAAACUUGACGUCAUUUUUACAAAUAAAAGCAUAAAAUAGCUCUAUUUUACCAUUUAUAAUAACAAUUGAUAAUUUAAAACAAAUAAAUUUACCUAUUAACUUAUUUUUUGCAUAAAAAAUUUCACUUUGAACAAAAUAUUAAAAUUUCAUUGAAGUGCAGGGUAUUAGUAUGGCCACAACGAAAUUGUGUACAUGCAAAAUGGAGAGCUGCGUUGUUUUGUGUACAUGCCAGCCAUUGUUAUGUUGAUAUUUGAGUGAAUUGGUCUACUUGCGAUAUAAAUAUGGACGACGAAAUUUUAAUCGAAGAAGUACGAAGUUGCCCCUUUAUUUAUGAUAUCUCGCACAGAGAUUAUAAGAAUCUAAGAAAAAAAGAUAUGGCGUGGAAACAAAUUUCUACAAACACAAGGUUGAGCGAAAUAGAAUGCAAAAAUAGGUGGAAGAGUCUCCGUAACUGUUACAAACGAUAUAAGAAUGGAGCAAGUCGCUUCCGGGAGUGGCCAACAAACUACCCGAAGAAAAUGGCGAUAUCUGGAGGCGAUGUCGUUUAUGGAAAAAAUUCCAAAUUCAAGGCGUACUAUUAGCAGCAUAAGCGAGGAGGUCAAAAGUGUCCAACACAAUAGAAUUAUUGAUCCAUCUUUGGAGGCAUCAACAUCAUCGACGACAAUGGAGACAUCGCAGCCGACAUCUUCGACUGGACGUGGACAAAAGAAAAAAAACGGCGACGCGUUCGCGAAAUUCCUUGAAACGACAGGCGCGAGCAUAUGUACAAUGAUGACGAAUCACGAUCGCGUAAAACCAAUUCCACCGCAUAACAUUUUGCUUCCUUGGCUACAUAAAUUUCGGAAGCCGGUCUUCCGCCAGACAUGGUGUACAUAUCGAGGCAAAAGUGUCGGCUUUAGUGUUCGAAGAAAUCAGCAAUUUCUAUUUGGGGUAUUUGGGGUAGAUUAAUUAACAAUGUGAUAAUCAUAGACUAAAGCUAUUUUUUGUUCAAUUUAUAUAGAAAAUUAUUUUUUUUUUUAAGUAGUUAGUAAGCAAAAUUGAAUUUCAUGUUUUUUUGUAUAUAUGUAUAUAAUGGUGAUAUUAGAAGUAACUUUUUUAAUUUAAAAAUGUGAUAUGUAAGAAAUGUUGAAGAAUAUGAAUUACGAAAACGAAAUUUAAUUACCUGUUUUAUAUAUAUAUGUAUAUAGUGAUUAUAUUAGAAGUAACUAUUUAAUUUAAAAAUGUGAUAUAAAGGGUGAUUUUUUAAGAGCUUGAUAACUUUUAAAAAAAAAAAAACGCAUAAAAUUUGCAAAAUCUCAUCGGUUCUUUAUUUGAAACGUUAGAUUGGUUCAUGACAUUUACUUUUUGAAGAUAAUUUCAUUUAAAUGUUGACCGCGGUUGCGUCUUAGGUGGUCCAUUCGGAAAGUCCAAUUUUGGGCAACUUUUUCGAGCAUUUCGGCCGGAAUAGCCCGAAUUUCUUCGGAAAUGUUGUCUUCCAAAGCUGGAAUAGUUGCUGGCUUAUUUCUGUAGACUUUAGACUU
Long non-coding RNA from Bactrocera dorsalis (oriental fruit fly), 3934 nucleotides. RefSeq lists it as uncharacterized. The transcript has 6 exons. NCBI's taxonomy places the organism in Eukaryota, Metazoa, Arthropoda, Insecta, Diptera, Tephritidae. The record is from RefSeq and is a predicted model, not a curated record.